GGGCCCGCACAAGCGGUGGAGUAUGUGGUUUAAUUCGAUGCAACGCGAAGAACCUUACCAGGGUUUGACAUCCUGCGAAUCUCUUGGAAACAGGAGAGUGCCUUCGGGAACGCAGUGACAGGUGCUGCAUGGCUGUCGUCAGCUCGUGUCGUGAGAUGUUCGGUUAAGUCCGGCAACGAGCGCAACCCACGUCUUUAGUUGCCAGCAUUUAGUUGGGCACUCUAGAGAGACUGCCGGUGAUAAACCGGAGGAAGGUGUGGAUGACGUCAAGUCCUCAUGGCCCUUACGGGUUGGGCUACACACGUGCUACAAUGGUAGUGACAAUGGGUUAAUCCCAAAAAGCUAUCUCAGUUCGGAUUGUCGUCUGCAACUCGACGGCAUGAAGUCGGAAUCGCUAGUAAUCG
This 404-nucleotide ribosomal RNA is filed under the name uncultured bacterium. Its description in RNAcentral is "bacterial SSU rRNA". It matches the Rfam family "Bacterial small subunit ribosomal RNA", at positions 917 to 1344 of the family's 1533-position model. The record is from RNAcentral.